GGACAAGGAGCUGCCCGGCCCCAGCCCCCGCGAGGCCAAGAAACUCCACCAGGAGACCCGGCGCGCAGACAAAUGGAUAAAAAUGCUCAAGCGAUGGGACCACUACCUCCCCAGCGAGAAGGAAAUGAAGGAGGAGGCCCUGGUCUCCUCCCGGGACAUCAUGCAGAUUGACCUGGAUGUCAACGGGACGUUCCGCAGUCAUACCAUGUUCUGGGAGGGCUACGGGGUCGGGCAGCGAGCCCUGUUCCUCGUGCUGGCGGCCUACUCGGUGUACGACACCGUGAGUGUCCCUGCCCCUGCCCCCUGCCCCGCAGGCGGCCUUGUUGUGCUGGUGACCAGCGGGACUCACAGUCAGGGCCCCAGCUCCACGGCCCCGAGAUGCCGGGGAGGGUCUCUCUCCUCCAGGACGGGCAGGGGGCGGGGUGCAGACCUCCCAGGGGAGGCAGGGCCUGCGUGCCCGAGGGCCGGGGCUGCCCGGGGCCCCCGCGUGCACCGCGGCCGUCCUAGAGCUCGGGUCUGGACCCUGACAGACGGCACUACUGACGAGAACCCGGGCGAGGAAGCCUCCCACUACCCUGAAGGGCACGAGGCCGAGGCGCCCACGAGGCCGCCCCCUUCCACGGCGCAUUCCAGAAGGGUCCCCGAGGACCCCAGCUCACACACUCCCCGGCUCUGCGGGGUGUCCUGGCCCAGCUCCCCUCGUGGGACAUGCCAGGGGCCACAGUCAGGCCCGCAACCUGCCCUCCGGGGGGUCUCCACCCUGGCGGGUCCCCUGCAGCCUGGCACAGCUCACGGAGGCCCCUCCUGCUGGUCUGAGGACAGGGACCCUGGCACGGCGGCCACAGGGCUCGGUAGCGGGGCCUGGGGUGCUGGCGCCCGAGCUGGUCCGGGUGGCCCUCACCUGCCCCCCACCCUCUGGGAGCCCCCUCCGGGUGCCUGGGCUGUGAGGGAGCCGGGGGGAGCCUGA
RNAcentral lists this long non-coding RNA (967 nucleotides) under Canis lupus familiaris (dog). Its description in RNAcentral is "lncRNA (ENSCAFG00030012376.1)". Lineage: Eukaryota; Metazoa; Chordata; Mammalia; Carnivora; Canidae. The record is from RNAcentral.